RNAcentral lists this ribosomal RNA (524 nucleotides) under Bifidobacterium longum subsp. infantis. Its description in RNAcentral is "bacterial SSU rRNA". It matches the Rfam family "Bacterial small subunit ribosomal RNA", at positions 161 to 700 of the family's 1533-position model. RNAcentral also lists the same sequence under 2 other names. The record is from RNAcentral. Lineage: Bacteria; Bacillati; Actinomycetota; Actinomycetes; Bifidobacteriales; Bifidobacteriaceae.
UGGUAAUGCCGGAUGCUCCAGUUGAUCGCAUGGUCUUCUGGGAAAGCUUUCGCGGUAUGGGAUGGGGUCGCGUCCUAUCAGCUUGACGGCGGGGUAACGGCCCACCGUGGCUUCGACGGGUAGCCGGCCUGAGAGGGCGACCGGCCACAUUGGGACUGAGAUACGGCCCAGACUCCUACGGGAGGCAGCAGUGGGGAAUAUUGCACAAUGGGCGCAAGCCUGAUGCAGCGACGCCGCGUGAGGGAUGGAGGCCUUCGGGUUGUAAACCUCUUUUAUCGGGGAGCAAGCGAGAGUGAGUUUACCCGUUGAAUAAGCACCGGCUAACUACGUGCCAGCAGCCGCGGUAAUACGUAGGGUGCAAGCGUUAUCCGGAAUUAUUGGGCGUAAAGGGCUCGUAGGCGGUUCGUCGCGUCCGGUGUGAAAGUCCAUCGCUUAACGGUGGAUCCGCGCCGGGUACGGGCGGGCUUGAGUGCGGUAGGGGAGACUGGAAUUCCCGGUGUAACGGUGGAAUGUGUAGAUAUCGG